Molecule: ribosomal RNA, 497 nt
Filed under: uncultured bacterium
Lineage: Bacteria
Description: partial 16S ribosomal RNA
Rfam family: Bacterial small subunit ribosomal RNA
Source: RNAcentral
GAUGAACGCUGGCGGCGUGCCUAAUACAUGCAAGUCGAGCGAACAGAUGAGGAGCUUGCUCCUCUGACGUUAGCGGCGGACGGGUGAGUAACACGUGGAUAACCUACCUAUAAGACUGGGAUAACUUCGGGAAACCGGAGCUAAUACCGGAUAAUAUAUUGAACCGCAUGGUUCAAUAGUGAAAGACGGUUUUGCUGUCACUUAUAGAUGGAUCCGCGCCGCAUUAGCUAGUUGGUAAGGUAACGGCUUACCAAGGCAACGAUGCGUAGCCGACCUGAGAGGGGGAGCUGCCACACUGAAACUGAGACACGGUCCAGACUCCUACGGGAGGCAGCAGUAGGGAAUCUGCCGCAAUGGGCGAAAGACUAACGGCGCAGCGCCGCGUGAGUGAUGAAGGUCUUCGGAUCGUAAAACUCUGUUAUUAGGGAAGAACAAAUGUGUAAGUAACUAUGCACGUCUUGACGGUACCUAAUCAGAAAGCCACGGCUAACUGCGUG